Equus caballus (horse) is the source of this 1775-nucleotide long non-coding RNA. Lineage: Eukaryota; Metazoa; Chordata; Mammalia; Perissodactyla; Equidae. The record is from Ensembl.
UCCUUAACAAGUGACCUCCUUUAACUUUGUUAGUUCAUAAUUGAUUUGCUAGCAUGUAACCAAGAUAAUUAACACUCCUGAUUAGAGGCAGCCAAGAGAAGGAAGCUCUUUUUUUCAUGGCCAAGGCAAAUAUUGACUAAAAUUCGAGCUGUUUCCUAAGUUUCCUUACAAUUUAAUUCAUGGAAGGUGGUGGUCGGUGAUUUGUGGUUUUUAGUUAAAAAAUUAAAAUGGAGGUGAGAUGAAUGGGUCUGGCUACAGAACACUUUAUGACUGACUCAUAUUUUGGAUACAUGUGCUUUUUUCCUUUUCCUCAAAUACAAAGAUAUGAAGCAAGAGAAUCAAGUGGCAAGCGAAUAGAUUUAAUGGAGACUUUGAACACCUGGAGAGACUUCCACUUGUCAGGAGCGGGUGGGGAGAGGGGAGAAAGACGCACCGGACCUAAUAAGGAUCCUAAGCAUGAGCAUCAUCUUUUGAGUGGUCCUGUCUACUGUAGUUUACAAAGGUCUUUCACUUCCUUCUCUCUCUCCUUUGCCAACGAUCGUUUUAGGGCUGGGCCUGUGACCCAGUUCUGGCCGCUGGAACUUGAGGAAAGUCUCCUGGGGACUUGAUUUAGAUGAGAAGCACCCUCCCCCAGCUUGGGGUCAUGGGAUGUUGGUGCUUGGGGAAGCAAUACCUGCAGCAGCCAUCUUACAAGCGGGAAGGCGAGGCCAACACAAUGGACUCUUGGAGGAUGUGACCUGCGCCCUGUGAACCCAGCCUGGAACCUCCAACCUCCAGACUCCUCAUUAGCCUCUAUUGUUUGAGCCGGGUUUGCUCUGGUGUUACUUGCAGCCAAAGCCAUCCCAGCUGAAGCUAGGCUGGUGGUGAAGCCCUUGGACAGAUGCAGCUGAGGGAAAGCGUCUGUUCCUACUCAAGGAUGGAGGAGGUUUAAGGGCACUGGAUACAGUUCUCAGUCUUGAUGUCUCACCAUGUGACUAGUGGUCAGAUGGUCCUCCUCCCGCACCUUGUGUGAUGGGCCAGUGGGCACUGCCCUGAGGAACGGGGUGAGGUGUUCGGACCCCAGCCUCACUUGCAUUCAUACCUCCUCAGCUUCAGAUCAGGGUGCUCUGCGUUCCCGUGGCUGUUCCUUCACCACCAUCUCCACAGCUCGUCCUAUUUCUGGAAUUAAAUUUCACUUGCAGAUCGAGUAAGCAGCUACUGAGGACCACACAUGCGCCGGGCCGUAUAUGCCCCACGCUGGACCCCUCCACGUAGAGCGUCUGAUUUCCGAGUCUCCAAAGCGGGCAUGGCGAUCACUGCAUUGCACAGAUGGGAAGGUGGGGCUGAGCGUGGCCGAGCGACUGGCUCCAAGGUCCUGCAGCCAGUUGUCUAACCUGCAGCCAGGCAUCGAACCCAGGCCUCCUUCAGCUAGUCUUUCCCUAUAAGAUGGGGUGGGGUUGGUACCAUAACGUAGUAGGUGAGGGUCCCAGCAUGAGUGCAAGAGGAUUCAGAUGUGGCCGGGCUUGUGCACUGCAGCCCACCAGAAGCGGAUUUGCCUGAUGGACUGAGGAGAGAGGUCACCUAAGGCAGAGGGAGUCGGGAAGACAAGCUCUGCCUGGCACUGACCAUGGCACGGCGGAGGGGGUUAUGGGGGGCCACGGUGAAAUUGAGCACAGCUUGGGGCCCCAGAAACCCAUGGGGGGAGCUGCGUUAUGAGUGAGGACCAUGAGAUGUCAGGACGGCCACACUGCAGCUUGGGGGCCUGUGGGACCAAGGGGGGCCCUGAGUAGGGAGAG